GCCUACGGGGGGCAGCAGUAGGGAAUUUUCGUCAAUGGGCGCAAGCCUGAACGAGCAAUGCCGCGUGAACGAGGAAGGUCUUCGGAUCGUAAAGUUCUGUUGAAGGGGAAAAAGAGCGGAGAGGGGAAAUGCUUUCUGAUUGAUAUUACCCUUCGAGGAAGUCACGGCUAACUACGUGCCAGCAGCCGCGGUAAUACGUAGGUGGCGAGCGUUAUCCGGAAUGAUUGGGCGUAAAGGGUGCGUAGGCGGCCUGCUAAGUCUGGAGUGAAAGGUACCGGCUCAACCGGUACAGGCUCUGGAAACUG
This 305-nucleotide ribosomal RNA is filed under the name uncultured bacterium. RNAcentral describes it as "bacterial SSU rRNA". It matches the Rfam family "Bacterial small subunit ribosomal RNA", at positions 337 to 635 of the family's 1533-position model. The record is from RNAcentral.